CUUAUAUUAGGUGCCUAGAAGAGUCAAAUACACAGACACAGAAAUAGAACGGUGGUUGCCAGGGGUUGAAGGGAGGGGGAAAUGUGGAAUUGUUGUUUAAUGGACACUGAGUUUCAGUUUUUACAGGAUGAAAAAGUUCCGGAGAUGGAUGGUGUUGAUGGCCACACAACAACGUGGAUGUACUGAAUGCCACCGAACUUCAACUUGUUGUUGACUGGUGGUUUUCAUCUUUCACAAGUGGCCUGCUGUCAAUGCUCCUAGAACAACCAGAAACACAAGUGCUUCCUGGUCCCCCUGGCACCUCAAACGUCAUUGCCCUGUUUUUGAGAGGUCGCUAGUCUUGGACGUCAGGUGUCUCAGUCAGAAUUCCUAGUGACAAGAAAUAGAAACCAAAUCCAGCUCA
Molecule: long non-coding RNA, 403 nt
Organism: Herpailurus yagouaroundi (jaguarundi)
Lineage: Eukaryota; Metazoa; Chordata; Mammalia; Carnivora; Felidae
Exons: 2
Source: RefSeq, a predicted model, not a curated record